UCUAAUAUGGCAGAUUAGUGCAAUAGAUUUAAGCUCUAUAUAUGAAAGUACUCCUUUCUAUUAGAA
This 66-nucleotide transfer RNA is filed under the name Caenis sp. JYZ-2018. RNAcentral's name for it is "tRNA-Leu". It matches the Rfam family "tRNA". Rfam says of the family: Transfer RNA (tRNA) molecules are approximately 80 nucleotides in length. Their secondary structure includes four short double-helical elements and three loops (D, anti-codon, and T loops). Lineage: Eukaryota; Metazoa; Arthropoda; Insecta; Ephemeroptera; Caenidae. The record is from RNAcentral.